GAUGAACGCUGGCGGCGUGCUUAACACAUGCCAGUCGAACGAGAAGUGAAGACGGAAACCUUCGGGCGGAAGGCUUUAUUUCGAGUGGCGGACGGGUGAGUAACGCGUGGGUAACCUGCCUCAUACAGGGGGAUAACAGUUGGAAACGACUGUUAAUACCGCAUAAGACCACAGCACCGCAUGGUGCGGGGGUAAAAACUCCGGUGGUAUGAGAUGGACCCGCGUUCGAUUAGCCAGUUGGCGGGGUAACGGCCCACCAAAGCGACGAUCGAUAGCCGAUCUGAGAGGAUGACCGGCCACAUUGGGACUGAGUCACGGCCCAAACUCCUACGGGAGGCAGCAGUGGGGAAUAUUGCACAAUGGGGGAAACCCUGAUGCAGCGACGCCGCGUGAGUGAAGAAGUAUUUCGGUAUGUAAAGCUCUAUCAGCAGGGAAGAAAAUGACGGUACCUGAGUAAGAAGCCCCGGCUAACUACGUG
This 478-nucleotide ribosomal RNA is filed under the name uncultured bacterium. Its description in RNAcentral is "partial 16S ribosomal RNA". It matches the Rfam family "Bacterial small subunit ribosomal RNA", at positions 28 to 507 of the family's 1533-position model. The record is from RNAcentral.